RNAcentral lists this unclassified non-coding RNA (345 nucleotides) under soil metagenome. Its description in RNAcentral is "partial contains 5.8S ribosomal RNA, internal transcribed spacer 2, and large subunit ribosomal RNA". The stretch from base 1 to 119 matches the Rfam family "5.8S ribosomal RNA", at positions 35 to 154 of the family's 154-position model. The record is from RNAcentral.
GAUGAAGAACGUAGCGAAAUGCGAUACGUAAUGUGAAUUGCAAAUUCAGUGAAUCAUCGAGUCUUUGAACGCACAUUGCGCCCCCUGGUAUUCCGGGGGGCAUGCCUGUCCGAGCGUCAUUGCUGCCCUCAAGCACGGCUUGUGUGUUGGGCCCCGUCCUCCGAUCCCGGGGGACGGGCCCGAAAGGCAGCGGCGGCACCGCGUCCGGUCCUCGAGCGUAUGGAGCUUUGUCACCCGCUCUGUAGGCCCGGCCGGCGCUUGCCGAUCAACCCAAAUUUUUAUCCAGGUUGACCUCGGAUCAGGUAGGGAUACCCGCUGAACUUAAGCAUAUCAAUAAGCGGAGGA